RNAcentral lists this small RNA (666 nucleotides) under Pan troglodytes (chimpanzee). Its description in RNAcentral is "retained intron". Lineage: Eukaryota; Metazoa; Chordata; Mammalia; Primates; Hominidae. The record is from RNAcentral.
GCUGCUGCGGAAACCCGGCUUAGGAACGGGCCGGCAGCCUCCGGCCGCGGCCAGGAAGGCUCUUUGUCCCUUCCUUUGGGCCGCGUCUCUGCCCCUCCGCGUCUGACAGCCGCGGCGCCUCGGCUCGGGCGGAGAGCCCAGCGUGGCUGGGGCUGCGCGAGUCGAGCGGGGCGGGCUUGGUCCGGAGCUGCGGGAUGGAGAUCCCGGGCGGCACCGCACUCACUUCUUUUUCUGUUUUUGACAGCUCAGUUCUCUUCUACUUUGGGAGAGAGAGAAAGUCAGAUGCCCCUUUUAAACUCCCUCUUCAAAACUCAUCUCCUGGGUGACUGAGUUAAUAGAGUGGAUACAACCUUGCUGAAGAUGAAGAAUAUACAAUAUUGAGGAUUUUUUUUCUUUUUUUUUUCAAGUCUUGAUUUGUGGCUUACCUCAAGUUACCACUUUUCAGUCAAGUCUGUUUGUUUGCUUCUUCAGAAAUGUUUUUUACAAUCUCAAGAAAAAAUAUGUCCCAGAAAUUGAGUUUACUGUUGCUUGUAUUUGGACUCAUUUGGGGAUUGAUGUUACUGCACUAUACUUUUCAACAACCAAGACAUCAAAGCAGUGUCAAGUUACGUGAGCAAAUACUAGACUUAAGCAAAAGAUAUGUUAAAGCUCUAGCAGAGGAAAAUA